AUUGAACGCUGGCGGCAUGCUUUACACAUGCAAGUCGAACGGUAACAGGCCUUCGGGUGCUGACGAGUGGCGAACGGGUGAGUAAUGCAUCGGAACGUGCCCAAUCGUGGGGGAUAACGUAGCGAAAGUUACGCUAAUACCGCAUAAGCCCUGAGGGGGAAAGCAGGGGAUCGCAAGACCUUGCGCGAAUGGAGCGGCCGAUGUCAGAUUAGCUAGUUGGUGGGGUAAAGGCCUACCAAGGCGACGAUCUGUAGCGGGUCUGAGAGGAUGAUCCGCCACACUGGGACUGAGACACGGCCCAGACUCCUACGGGAGGCAGCAGUGGGGAAUUUUGGACAAUGGGCGCAAGCCUGAUCCAGCCAUGCCGCGUGCGGGACGAAGGCCUCGGUUGUAAACCGCUUUCAGCCGGAAAGAAGUCGCCAACGGCUAAUAUCCUUGGUGGAGUGACGGUACCGGAAGAAGAAGCACCGGCUAACUACGUGCCAGCAGCCGCGGU
Molecule: ribosomal RNA, 496 nt
Filed under: uncultured bacterium
Lineage: Bacteria
Description: bacterial SSU rRNA
Rfam family: Bacterial small subunit ribosomal RNA
Source: RNAcentral